CACAUUUGUUACAUUAAGAGGAGAUGGAGGGGAACAAUUUAUUAAGCUUAACUCCAGAAUAAUGAAGCCGAUGUACUACUUUAUAUUUGAUUAGUUGGUGUCUUGAGUUAAUAGAACAUGUAUUUAGGACUUUGAUAGACUUUUUCCAGUUCUCAUUGGUAAUUUGAAUGUCUAAAUCUUUCUCCCAGGAAUCUUUCAAAUACAAGGUAGAUAUGUCAAACAUUAAAAAUGUCUAUAAAACAGGAUCAAAUCAAAAUAAAGUCAUCACGAGAAGCAGAAAGUAAUUUAUAUACAACAUGUUCAUCUGUUAAUAGUUC
This is a non-coding RNA of Danio rerio (zebrafish), 317 nucleotides long. NCBI's taxonomy places the organism in Eukaryota, Metazoa, Chordata, Actinopteri, Cypriniformes, Danionidae. The record is from Ensembl.